Molecule: non-coding RNA, 392 nt
Organism: Methylobacter tundripaludum SV96
Lineage: Bacteria; Pseudomonadati; Pseudomonadota; Gammaproteobacteria; Methylococcales; Methylococcaceae
Rfam family: transfer-messenger RNA
About the family: Bacterial tmRNA, also known as 10Sa RNA or SsrA, is named for its dual tRNA and mRNA-like properties.
Source: Rfam
GGGGGCGACAUGGCUUCGACGUGGGUAGCGAAACCUUAAGCGCAUGCCGAGGACAGUACACCUCGUAAAAUCUACUGAAACUAAAGUAUUCGCAAAUGACGAAAACUACUCAAUGGCUUUAGCUGCUUAAACACAGCACCAUUCCUCUGACCAUCUGUGCUUAUGCGGGUGGAGUUUUUAGUACCUUUUAGGUAUGAGAGGCGCUCAGAGGUCAUCUACAUAAGAUCGCGCUGAAAUCUGUCCGGUGUGGAUGCGCUAAAACCUUACGGAAUCGCUGGUGAUUUUCUUGGCCCGACGGGUAGUCACUGGCUAAAUCAAAAGAGCGGGAUAAGCAUGUAGACCUUGUGGCGGAGUACUUGCGGACGGGGGUUCAAUUCCCCCCGCCUCCACCA